This 240-nucleotide ribosomal RNA is filed under the name uncultured bacterium. Its description in RNAcentral is "partial 16S ribosomal RNA". It matches the Rfam family "Bacterial small subunit ribosomal RNA", at positions 15 to 235 of the family's 1533-position model. The record is from RNAcentral.
GAUCAUGGCUCAGGAUGAACGCUGGCGGCGUGCCUAACACAUGCAAGUCGAACGAAGAGGCGGCAUCAGAAUCCUUCGGGAGGAAGAAGCCGUUUACUGAGUGGCGGACGGGUGAGUAACGCGUGGGCAACCUGCCCAGUACAGGGGGACAACAGUUGGAAACGACUGCUAAUACCGCAUAAGCCUGUAAUGCCGCAUGGCAUAUCAGGAAAAACUCCGGUGGUACUGGAUGGGCCCGCG